RNAcentral lists this ribosomal RNA (253 nucleotides) under uncultured bacterium. Its description in RNAcentral is "partial 16S ribosomal RNA". It matches the Rfam family "Bacterial small subunit ribosomal RNA", at positions 524 to 776 of the family's 1533-position model. The record is from RNAcentral.
UACAGAGGUCUCAAGCGUUGUUCGGGUUCAUUGGGCGUAAAGGGUGCGUAGGCGGCGAGGCAAGUCGGAUGUGAAAUCUCAGGGCUCAACCCUGAAACUGCAUUCGAUACUGCCUUGCUCGAGGACUGGAGAGGAGAUUGGAAUUCACGGUGUAGCAGUGAAAUGCGUAGAUAUCGUGAGGAAGACCAGUGGCGAAGGCGGAUCUCUGGACAGUUCCUGACGCUGAGGCACGAAGUCCAGGGGAGCAAACGGG